ACACCUCAACCCUCCAAUGUUUUUGCAUUGAAGGUGUUGGUAGUGAGCGCUGCCGGACUUUGGGUCGGCUCGCUUUAAAAUCAUUAGCUGCAUCCAUUCUGACCUGGUUCUACUCGGCGUAAUAAGUUAUUAUCGUCGAGGACGCAUGCCUUUCUAGGCAGGCGGCCACAGUAAGGGUGUUUGAACCGCUUCCAACAUGUCUUGCUCUUAUAGCAAACACUUGAAC
RNAcentral lists this unclassified non-coding RNA (226 nucleotides) under uncultured Geminibasidium. RNAcentral's name for it is "sequence contains ITS2". The record is from RNAcentral. Lineage: Eukaryota; Fungi; Basidiomycota; Geminibasidiomycetes; Geminibasidiales; Geminibasidiaceae.